Molecule: ribosomal RNA, 446 nt
Filed under: uncultured bacterium
Lineage: Bacteria
Description: partial 16S ribosomal RNA
Rfam family: Bacterial small subunit ribosomal RNA
Source: RNAcentral
CCUACGGGUGGCAGCAGUCGAGAAUCAUUCACAAUGGGGGAAACCCUGAUGGUGCGACGCCGCGUGGGGGAAUGAAGGUCUUCGGAUUGUAAACUCCUGUCAUGUGGGAGCAAAUUAAAAAGAUAGUACCACAAGAGGAAGCUACGGCUAACUCUGUGGCAGCAGCCGCGGUAAUACAGAGGUCUCAAGCGUUGUUCGGAAUCACUGGGUGUAAAGCGUGCGUAGGCUGUUUCGUAAGUCGUAAGUGAAAGGCUCGGGCUUAACCCGCGGACGGCACCUGAUACUGCGGGACUAGAGUAAUGGAGGGGGAAGCGGAAUUCCCGGUGUAGCAGUGAAAUGCGUAGAUAUCGAGAGGAACACUAGUGGCGAAGGCGGGUUACUGGACAUUAACUGACGCUGAGGCACGAAGGCCAGGGGAGCGAAAGGGAUUAGAUACCCCAGUAGUC